RNAcentral lists this ribosomal RNA (252 nucleotides) under uncultured bacterium. Its description in RNAcentral is "partial 16S ribosomal RNA". It matches the Rfam family "Bacterial small subunit ribosomal RNA", at positions 15 to 248 of the family's 1533-position model. The record is from RNAcentral.
GAUCAUGGCUCAGGAUGAACGCUGGCGGCGUGCUUAACACAUGCAAGUCGAACGGAACUACUUUAAUGAGAUUCUUCGGAAAGGAUUUGAUUUAGUUUAGUGGCGGACGGGUGAGUAACGCGUGGGUAACCUGCCUCAUACAGGGGGAUAACAGUUGGAAACGGCUGUUAAUACCGUAUAAGCGCACAGUACCGCAUGGUACAGUGUGAAAAACUCUGGUGGUAUGGGAUGGACCCGCGUCUGAUUAGCUGG